GCCUGGGUGGCUCAGUUGGUUAAGCGCCUGAUUGGGCUCAGGUCAUGAUCUUGCAGUUUGUGGGUUCGAGCCCCGCAUCGGGCU
This 84-nucleotide transfer RNA is filed under the name Felis catus (domestic cat). It matches the Rfam family "tRNA". Rfam says of the family: Transfer RNA (tRNA) molecules are approximately 80 nucleotides in length. The record is from Rfam by way of RNAcentral. Lineage: Eukaryota; Metazoa; Chordata; Mammalia; Carnivora; Felidae. RNAcentral also lists the same sequence under 2 other names.